This 492-nucleotide ribosomal RNA is filed under the name uncultured bacterium. RNAcentral's name for it is "partial 16S ribosomal RNA". It matches the Rfam family "Bacterial small subunit ribosomal RNA", at positions 29 to 507 of the family's 1533-position model. The record is from RNAcentral.
AGUGAACGCUGGCGGUAGGCCUAACACAUGCAAGUCGAACGGCAGCACAGUAAGAGCUUGCUCUUACGGGUGGCGAGUGGCGGACGGGUGAGGAAUACAUCGGAAUCUACUUUUUCGUGGGGGAUAACGUAGGGAAACUUACGCUAAUACCGCAUACGACCUACGGGUGAAAGCAGGGGAUCUUCGGACCUUGCGCGAUUGAAUGAGCCGAUGUCGGAUUAGCUAGUUGGCGGGGUAAAGGCCCACCAAGGCGACGAUCCGUAGCUGGUCUGAGAGGAUGAUCAGCCACACUGGAACUGAGACACGGUCCGGACUCCUACGGGAGGCAGCAGUGGGGAAUAUUGGACAAUGGGCGCAAGCCUGAUCCAGCCAUACCGCGUGGGUGAAGAAGGCCUUCGGGUUGUAAAGCCCUUUUGUUGGGAAAGAAAAGCAGCAGGUUAAUACCCCGCUGUCCUGACGGUACCCAAAGAAUAAGCACCGGCUAACUUCGUG